This 557-nucleotide ribosomal RNA is filed under the name uncultured fungus. RNAcentral describes it as "eukaryotic LSU rRNA". It matches the Rfam family "Eukaryotic large subunit ribosomal RNA", at positions 71 to 650 of the family's 3401-position model. Lineage: Eukaryota; Fungi. The record is from RNAcentral.
GGGAUUGCCUUAGUAACGGCGAGUGAAGCGGCAACAGCUCAAAUUUGAAAUCUGGCCCUCGGGUCCGAAUUGUAAUUUGUAGAGGAUGAUUUUGGUGCGGUAUCUUCCGAGUUCCUUGGAACAGGACGCCUUAGAGGGUGAGAGCCCCGUACGGUUGAAUGCCUAGCCUCUGUAAAUCCCCUUCGACGAGUCGAGUAGUUUGGGAAUGCUGCUCUAAAUGGGAGGUAAAUUUCUUCUAAAGCUAAAUAUUGGCCAGAGACCGAUAGCGCACAAGUAGAGUGAUCGAAAGAUGAAAAGCACUUUGAAAAGAGGGUUAAAUAGCACGUGAAAUUGUUGAAAGGGAAGGAUUUGUGACCAGACUUUUUCUGGGCGGAUCAUCCGGGGUUCUCUCCGGUGCACUUUGCCCAGUAAAGGCCAGCAUCGAUUUUCGGCGGCGGAUAAAAGCAGUGGGAAUGUGGCUCCCUACGGGGAGUGUUAUAGCCCAUUGUAUAAUACGCUGCUGGGGAUCGAGGUACGCGCUUCUGCAAGGAUGCUGGCGUAAUGGUUAUCAAUCACCC